UGGGGAAUUUUGGACAAUGGGCGAAAGCCUGAUCCAGCAAUGCCGCGUGUGUGAAGAAGGCCUUCGGGUUGUAAAGCACUUUUGUCCGGAAAGAAAUCCUUGGCUCUAAUACAGUCGGGGGAUGACGGUACCGGAAGAAUAAGCACCGGCUAACUACGUGCCAGCAGCCGCGGUAAUACGUAGGGUGCAAGCGUUAAUCGGAAUUACUGGGCGUAAAGCGUGCGCAGGCGGUUUGCUAAGACCGAUGUGAAAUCCCCGGGCUCAACCUAGGAACUGCAUUGGUGACUGGCAGGCUAGAGUAUGGCAGAGGGGGGUAGAAUUCCACGUGUAGCAGUGAAAUGCGUAGAGAUGUGGAGGAAUACCGAUGGCGAAGGCAGCCCCCUGGGCCAAUACUGACGCUCAUGCACGAAAGCGUGGGGAGCAAACAGGAUUAGAUACCCUGGUAGUCCACGCCCUAAACGAUGUCAACUAGUUGUUGGGGAUUCAUUUCCUUAGUAACGUAGCUAACGCGUGAAGUUGACCGCCUGGGGAGUACGGUCGCAAGAUUAAAACUCAAAUGAAUUGACGGGGUCAUA
RNAcentral lists this ribosomal RNA (575 nucleotides) under uncultured bacterium. RNAcentral describes it as "partial 16S ribosomal RNA". It matches the Rfam family "Bacterial small subunit ribosomal RNA", at positions 355 to 923 of the family's 1533-position model. The record is from RNAcentral.